UUAAGAGUUUUAUAAGAGCUUCGUAUAACCCCGGUAAUCGGUCCGGGGGUCUCUACCAGGUGACCGCAAAUCACCUGACUACGAAGCUUGGUUCUUCGUGG
RNAcentral lists this non-coding RNA (101 nucleotides) under Thermanaeromonas toyohensis. RNAcentral describes it as "Guanine sequence". It matches the Rfam family "Purine riboswitch aptamer". From Rfam's summary of the family: Riboswitches are metabolite binding domains within certain messenger RNAs that serve as precision sensors for their corresponding targets. Allosteric rearrangement of mRNA structure is mediated by ligand binding, and this results in modulation of gene expression. A class of riboswitches that selectively recognises guanine and becomes saturated at concentrations as low as 5 nM. Lineage: Bacteria; Bacillati; Bacillota; Clostridia; Neomoorellales; Neomoorellaceae. RNAcentral also lists the same sequence under 1 other name. The record is from RNAcentral.